RNAcentral lists this ribosomal RNA (508 nucleotides) under uncultured bacterium. RNAcentral's name for it is "bacterial SSU rRNA". It matches the Rfam family "Bacterial small subunit ribosomal RNA", at positions 791 to 1320 of the family's 1533-position model. The record is from RNAcentral.
UAGUCCACGCCGUAAACGAUGAAUGCCAGACGUCGGGAGACUUGUCUUUCGGUGUCACACUUAACGGAUUAAGCAUUCCGCCUGGGGAGUACGGUCGCAAGAUUAAAACUCAAAGGAAUUGACGGGGGCCCGUACAAGCGGUGGAGCAUGUGGUUUAAUUCGAAGCAACGCGCAGAACCUUACCAACCCUUGACAUGGGUAUCGCGGUUCCAGAGAUGGAAUUUUCAGUUCGGCUGGAUAUCACACAGGUGCUGCAUGGCUGUCGUCAGCUCGUGUCAUGAGAUGUUCGGUUAAGUCCGGCAACGAGCGCAACCCACAUCUUUAGUUGCCAGCAGUUCGGCUGGGCACUCUAGAGAAACUGCCCGUGAUAAGCGGGAGGAAGGUGUGGAUGACGUCAAGUCCUCAUGGCCCUUACGGGUUGGGCUACACACGUGCUACAAUGGCAGUGACAAUGGGUUAAUCCCAAAAAACUGUCUCAGUUCGGAUUGGGGUCUGCAACUCGACCCCA